CCUACGGGAGGCAGCAGUGAGGAAUAUUGGUCAAUGGACGAGAGUCUGAACCAGUCAAGUAGCGUGAAGGAUGACUGCCCUAUGGGUUGUAAACUUCUUUUAUAAAGGAAUAAAACGAGGCACGUGUGCCUUUUUGCAUGUACUUUAUGAAUAAGGAUCGGCUAACUCCGUGCCAGCAGCCGCGGUAAUACGGAGGAUCCGAGCGUUAUCCGGAUUUAUUGGGUUUAAAGGGAGCGUAGAUGGGUUGUUAAGUUAGUUGUGAAAGUUUGCGGCUCAACCGUAAAAUUGCAUGUGAUACUGGCAGUCUUGAGUACAGUUGAGGUAGGCGGAAUUCGUGGUGUAGCGGUGAAAUGCUUAGAUAUCACGAAGAACCCCGAUUGCGAAGGCAGCUUACUAAACUGUGACUGACAUUGAUGCUCGAAAGUGUGGGUAGCAAACAGGAUUAGAUACCCGAGUAGUC
Molecule: ribosomal RNA, 460 nt
Filed under: uncultured bacterium
Lineage: Bacteria
Description: partial 16S ribosomal RNA
Rfam family: Bacterial small subunit ribosomal RNA
Source: RNAcentral